UUGGAANGUUAAAGUCGUAACAAGGUUUCCGUAGGUGAACCUGCGGAAGGAUCAUUACAGAAUGAAAAGUGCUUAACUGCAUUUUUUCUUACACAUGUGUUUUUCUUUUUUUGAAAACUUUGCUUUGGUAGGCCUUCUAUAUGGGGCCUGCCAGAGAUUAAACUCAACCAAAUUUUAUUUAAUGUCAACCGAUUAUUUAAUAGUCAAAACUUUCAACAACGGAUCUCUUGGUUCUCGCAUCGAUGAAGAACGCAGCGAAAUGCGAUAAGUAAUAUGAAUUGCAGAUAUUCGUGAAUCAUCGAAUCUUUGAACGCACAUUGCGCCCUUUGGUAUUCCAAAGGGCAUGCCUGUUUGAGCGUCAUUUCUCCCUCAAACCCUCGGGUUUGGUGUUGAGCGAUACGCUGGGUUUGCUUGAAAGAAAGGCGGAGUAUAAACUAAUGGAUAGGUUUUUUCCACUCAUUGGUACAAACUCCAAAACUUCUUCCAAAUUCGACCUCAAAUCAGGUAGGACUACCCGCUGAACUUAAGCAUAUCAAUAGNCGGGNNGGAA
RNAcentral lists this small RNA (550 nucleotides) under Lodderomyces parapsilosis. Its description in RNAcentral is "eukaryotic LSU rRNA". The stretch from base 208 to 361 matches the Rfam family "5.8S ribosomal RNA". The record is from RNAcentral. Lineage: Eukaryota; Fungi; Ascomycota; Pichiomycetes; Serinales; Debaryomycetaceae.